Molecule: ribosomal RNA, 301 nt
Filed under: uncultured bacterium
Lineage: Bacteria
Description: partial 16S ribosomal RNA
Rfam family: Bacterial small subunit ribosomal RNA
Source: RNAcentral
CAGCCGCCGCGGGAAUACGAAGGGUGCAAGCGUUACUCGGAAUUACUGGGCGUAAAGCGUGCGUAGGUGGUGGUUUAAGUCCGUUGUGAAAGCCCUGGGCUCAACCUGGGAAUUGCAGUGGAUACUGGGUCACUAGAGUGUGGUAGAGGAUAGUGGAAUUUCCGGUGUAGCAGUGAAAUGUGUAGAGAUCGGAAGGAACAUCUGUGGCGAAGGCGACUAUCUGGGACAACACUGACGCUGAGGCACGAAAGCGUGGGGAGCAAACAGGAUUAGAUACCCCAGUAGUCCCUGUCUCUUAUAC